RNAcentral lists this ribosomal RNA (492 nucleotides) under uncultured bacterium. RNAcentral describes it as "partial 16S ribosomal RNA". It matches the Rfam family "Bacterial small subunit ribosomal RNA", at positions 29 to 507 of the family's 1533-position model. The record is from RNAcentral.
AGUGAACGCUGGCGGUAGGCCUAACACAUGCAAGUCGAACGGCAGCACAGUAAGAUCUUGCUCUUACGGGUGGCGAGUGGCGGACGGGUGAGGAAUACAUCGGAAUCUACUUUUUCGUGGGGGAUAACGUAGGGAAACUUACGCUAAUACCGCAUACGACCUACGGGUGAAAGCAGGGGAUCUUCGGACCUUGCGCGAUUGAAUUAGCCGAUGUCGGAUUAGCUAGUUGGCGGGGUAAAGGCCCACCAAGGCGACGAUCCGUAGCUGGUCUGAGAGGAUGAUCAGCCACACUGGAACUGAGACACGGUCCAGACUCCUACGGGAGGCAGCAGUGGGGAAUAUUGGACAAUGGGCGCAAGCCUGAUGGAGCCAUACCGCGUGGGUGAAGAAGGCCUUCGGGUGGUAAAGCCCUGUUGUUGGGAAAGAAAAGCAGCAGGUUAAUACGCGGCUGUUCUGACGGUACCCAAAGAAUAAGCACCGGCUAACUUCGUG